AACGAACGCUGGCGGCAGGCCUAACACAUGCAAGUCGAACGCCCCGCAAGGGGAGUGGCAGACGGGUGAGUAACGCGUGGGAACGUGCCCUUCGGUUCGGAAUAACUCAGGGAAACUUGAGCUAAUACCGGAUACGUCCGUAAGGAGAAAGAUUUAUCGCCGAAGGAUCGGCCCGCGUCGGAUUAGCUAGUUGGUGAGGUAACGGCCCACCAAGGCGACGAUCCGUAGCUGGUCUGAGAGGAUGANCAGCCACACUGGGACUGAGACACGGCCCAGACUCCUACGGGAGGCAGCAGUGGGGAAUAUUGGACAAUGGGCGAAAGCCUGAUCCAGCCAUGCCGCGUGAGUGAAGAAGGCCUUAGGGUUGUAAAGCUCUUUCAGCGGGAAGAUAAUGACGGUACCCGCAGAAGAAGCCCCGGCUAACUUCGUGCCAGCAGCCGCGGU
This 444-nucleotide ribosomal RNA is filed under the name uncultured bacterium. Its description in RNAcentral is "bacterial SSU rRNA". It matches the Rfam family "Bacterial small subunit ribosomal RNA", at positions 29 to 521 of the family's 1533-position model. The record is from RNAcentral.